This 405-nucleotide ribosomal RNA is filed under the name uncultured eukaryote. RNAcentral's name for it is "bacterial SSU rRNA". It matches the Rfam family "Eukaryotic small subunit ribosomal RNA", at positions 592 to 997 of the family's 1831-position model. The record is from RNAcentral.
CAAUAGCGUAUAUUAAAGUUGUUGCAGUUAAAAAGCUCGUAGUUGGAUUUCUGGUGGGAGCGAUCGGUCCGCCCCGCAAGGGGUGUGUACUAGCGUCGUCUCCGGCCAUCCUUGUGGGAACUGCUCUGUCCUUAGUUGGAUGGGGUUUGGGAACACAUCGUUUACUGUGAAAAAAUUAGAGUGUUUAAAGCAGGCUUAGGCCGUUGAAUACAUUAGCAUGGAAUAAUAAGAUAGGACUUUGGAACUAUUUUGUUGGUUUGCGUUACAAAGUAAUGAUUAAUAGGGACAGUUGGGGGUAUUCGUAUUUCGUUGUCAGAGGUGAAAUUCUUGGAUUUCCGAAAGACGAACUACUGCGAAAGCAUUUACCAAGGAUGUUUUCAUUAAUCAAGAACGAAAGUUAGGGGA